AGCAUACAUGUCUACUAUAGCUUCCUCUUCCCCCAGAGUAAAGGACAGUUUCAGCAGCUUCUCUUUUACUAGAUAAUUAGUAGUAACAUCUAAACCUUUGGAACUACUUUCGAACUCAGAAGAGCAACUAGUUUUCCUCUUCCUUCGAUUUACCACCACACAAAUUUACCUGUGCAAUAACAAGAUUUGCAGAAAGCAUUGUCAGUUGUUGAUGAUCCAUCUCUAAAUAUGAUUAAUAAUCAGCCAAAGCAUAUCAGUGAUGUAUAUCAAAAUUCAUAAAUUUCAGAUAAAAGGGGAUAUAGAAGUGAGAAAAAUCUGGCAAAGGAGGGGAAAUUUAAAUUUUAGGGGUUAUUUUAUAAGAAUUAAAAAUAAUAGUAAAAAUGUCAAAUUUUCAAAACAAAAAGGGGCAAAUGCCCUCCAUAAAUUACACCUAGAUCCUCCACUAAGCACAAUACACAAAUCUGCCUGGAUUCCAUAUCCCAAUUUGGAAACUAUAUAACAAGGAAUUGCUUUCGAUGGAGAAUUUUUUACAACUGAAAGAGCUUUUUAUGGCUAAACCCAUCUGAAAAGUAUGUAUCGCAGACCAUCACGACGAUUAUGAAGCUCAAGUUAAAAUCAGAAGCUCGUUAACUGAUUGGACAUAAUGCAACCGAAAAGUUGUAAUGGAAAAAUUACUCAUUCGCUUGAAAAUAUAAAAGCAUUUUCUUUUGGUGUCCACGCUGUUGUUUUUCUGUUUUCUUUUGAGAAUAUAAAUGGAAUUGAGAAGAAGAAUUAAGGAGUUCAUGUUUUUUUGUUUUUUCAUUUAUGGUGCACAUAGAAGUUGCUUGUCCAAUCUUGGCAACGUUUUUCUAUGUUCUUUCUGCAAUAUAUAUGUUUCUUUUAUAGAAAUUAAAUGCGGGGAUUUAAAGUCCAAGACAUUUCCUAAACAUUGAGCAACAGAAAUUUUCAUGGCUAUAUGAGAAUUUGAAGACUUGAUUUAUGAAGCUGACUCAUUGUGCCUAAUAGUUACAACAAAAUUGACACUAUACCAUUACAUAAAGAAUAUGAAUUAUCCUCUUAAAAAUAAAUUAAACUCUAAAAUUUACCCAUAUUUUAGUCUUUAUACUUAUUUUUAUCUUCCUAGAACAGUGUUAUAUACACUUAAGUUGUGCACAUGAUAUCAAUAUGUUUAUGUUUCAAAGCAAGUUUUAAAAAUGUAUUAAAAGUAAAGUCCUAUUAGUUAUAACUCAUAAAAAGAUGUAAUUUUCGUGUAUCACUAACAGAUGCAUAUAUAUACACAAGUUAGGCAUUACUUUUUGGUUGAGCAUAUUCAAGUAGAAGUAAUUUAAUGUUUGUAAUCAAAUAAAUUUUUUAGUUGUGUUCGUGGCUGACAACCGUGCUGCUUAAUAUUACAAAAACAAGUGAAGUAGCCCAUGCAGACAUCUUCUUUUGGUGUAUCAUAUCAAGUACAAGGCAAGACGUUUUUGUUGCUGAAGACUGACCAAUAAAGCUAGCAGCAAAGGGUAUUAUUUUCCUUUUACCUAAACAAAAAGAAUCAUAACAAAUCUCUUACAAAAUUUUGACCUUAUUAUACCAUUAAUCAAUCAAUCAAGAUUCUGUCGAAAGGACCCGGUUCACAAUUAAUUACUAACCCAUAAAGUUUUAACCUUUAAUCAAUCAAAAACAGUUCUAUUGGGAGAACCCAGUUGAAAAUUCAUUACUAAUCCGUAAAGUUUGAACCUUUAGUCAAUCAAUUAAUUUUCAUUUGAGAUAACCCAAUUGAAAAUUAACUAUUAACCCACAAAGCUCUAACCUUAUAGUCAAUCAAUUAAAUUCUAUUGACAGAAGCCAGUUGAAAAUUCACCACUAACCAUAAAGUUUUAACCUUUACUCAAUCAAUUAAAUAUUUAUACCAAGCCAAAUUGAAUUUCUAUCACUAUGACAUAAAAGUUUAACAUGAUCUACCUAAUAUAACAAUAGUAGUUUAUAAUAGUAAUUGCUAAAGACCCUGCAGAAUCAUAAAUACAAAAGAUUACAAGGGUUGGGCAAAUAUUAUACAAAAAGAAGCCAAUGCAGCAAGAUUCACAUACAAAAAGUACAAAAACCCUAAACCCUUAUACCCAGAAUAUAUAUAUAUAUAUAUAUAUAUAUAUAUAUAUAUAUAUAUAUAUACCUCUUUGAUAUGAGUGAAUAAAAAAAUUUGCUUUUUUUGUUGUUG
This 2197-nucleotide long non-coding RNA is filed under the name Panax ginseng (ginseng). Its description in RNAcentral is "long non-coding RNA (PGIN_LNC005477)". The record is from RNAcentral. Lineage: Eukaryota; Viridiplantae; Streptophyta; Magnoliopsida; Apiales; Araliaceae.